Molecule: ribosomal RNA, 250 nt
Filed under: uncultured bacterium
Lineage: Bacteria
Description: partial 16S ribosomal RNA
Rfam family: Bacterial small subunit ribosomal RNA
Source: RNAcentral
UACGAAGGGUGCAAACGUUGCUCGGAAUUAUUGGGCGUAAAGCGCACGUAGGCGGCUAUCUAAGUCGGAUGUGAAAUCCCUCGGCUUAACCAAGGAAGUGCACCCGAAACUGGAUAGCUUGAGUACAGAAGAGGAUCGCGGAAUUCCCGGUGUAGAGGUGAAAUUCGUAGAUAUCGUGGAGGAACACCGGUGGCGAAAGCGACUCUCUGGGACGGCAACUGACGCUCAGGUGCGAAAGCUAGGGGAGCGA